Molecule: transfer RNA, 76 nt
Filed under: Emcibacteraceae bacterium
Lineage: Bacteria; Pseudomonadati; Pseudomonadota; Alphaproteobacteria; Emcibacterales; Emcibacteraceae
Description: tRNA-Pro
Rfam family: tRNA
About the family: Transfer RNA (tRNA) molecules are approximately 80 nucleotides in length. Their secondary structure includes four short double-helical elements and three loops (D, anti-codon, and T loops).
Source: RNAcentral
CAGGGUGUGGCUUAGUCUGGUAAAGUGCCGCACUUGGAAUACGAGAUCGAAGGCUCAAAUCCUUCUGCCCUGACCA